GCCGGAUUGGCGCAGUGGUAGUCGCGUCUCACUUGUAUGGUCGUUGACAACGGAAAAAAAUUCAAUGAGAAGGUCAUUCGUUCAAUCCGGAUAUUCGGCA
This is a non-coding RNA of Pholiota molesta, 100 nucleotides long. The record is from the annotation of a GenBank genome assembly. Lineage: Eukaryota; Fungi; Basidiomycota; Agaricomycetes; Agaricales; Strophariaceae.